This is an RNA transcript of Portunus trituberculatus (swimming crab), 1016 nucleotides long. It is a transcript of the gene named 60S ribosomal protein L7a-like, with no coding region annotated. Lineage: Eukaryota; Metazoa; Arthropoda; Malacostraca; Decapoda; Portunidae. The record is from RefSeq and is a predicted model, not a curated record. The transcript is spliced from 7 exons.
UCGCGGUUGCGCUUUGAUAUCCUUUCGGCUCGUGAGUAUUGAUGGGAAGGAUGUCCGCCGGGUCUCUCCUCUCCACGUGUUUUAAUUCCCUCACCCUCAGGGAGUCAAGAGAUACAAGAUGGAUCAAAAGAAGAGAGGCAGACUAACUUGAGAGCCCACGAGUGCUGUCCUUGUGGCCAGCAUUUGAUACAACUCGUCAAACAUACACACCAUACAUCUUACUAAGGGAAAGGUGAAGAGGAAAAGGAAGAAGGUCGCUGCUGCCCCCCUGGUGACCAAGAAAGUGGUCAACCCACUCUGAGAAGCGACCCAGGAACUUUGGCAUUGGUGAAGACAUCCAUCCCCAGCAUGACCUGAUCCAGGAGAUGCGCAUGACCAUGAAAAGGUGUCGAUAGCGCCAGAAGGCCAUUCGCCAGUUUAAGCAGCCUCUUGACAACCACGCAGGCAGCUGCAGUAACAGCUUGAGAAAUCCAUUGUUAGUCACCCGAGGCUCCUCCCCAGGGCGGUGUGGGGCUUCAAUCAUCCUCCUCCCCAUAGGUCUCCAUUGAAGGGGAGGCAGUGCUGGGCAUGGAGGGAAGCCCUUUGCUCCAGGGUUGCAGAAAGCUGUUUAGCCUCCUGGACAACUACCACCUUGAGACCAGGACUGCCAAGGAGAGGCUGACCAGGCCGCCAGCAAGCCUUCUGUGCCCACCUAGCCCUUUGUUCAGGUGUGCCAGGGAGUGAACCAAGCGGUGAAAGUGAUGGAGCAGAAGGUGCUGCUAUUAUGCAUUGCCAACGAUGUGGAGCCCAUUGAGGAGGUGCUGUUCCUGCCUGCCCUGUGUUGCAAGAUGGGCAUUCCUUACUGCAUCGUGAAGGACAAGGCUCGCCUGGGCUAUGUGGUCUUGAUGAGGAAGUCUUUCUGUGUGGCUCUCAUUGAUGUUGCGGAAAAUGACAGGAGCAAACUAUCAAGACUUAAGUACAAAGACUGCCAUUUAGCUGGCACAAAAACAUUAAGUACAAUAAACUGAUCCAUGGAA